Molecule: non-coding RNA, 73 nt
Organism: Podarcis raffonei (Aeolian wall lizard)
Lineage: Eukaryota; Metazoa; Chordata; Lepidosauria; Squamata; Lacertidae
Source: the annotation of a RefSeq genome assembly
GCCUGCAUAGCUCAGCUGGUUAGAGCAUGGUGCUGAAAAUGCCAAGGUUGCAGGUUCGAUCCCCGCUGGGACA